GCAAACAUGAAACAAUACAUGGGAAAAUGUUUAUAUUCGUAAUAUUCUUAUGGUGAAGAGAAUACUGCAUGUGAUUCACAAUACAUAAAAGUUCCUAUUAGCAACCAUCUCUACUCACAGAUCCAUAUGUUGAAAGUUAAUAAUAUCUGAAGCAAAAAAGUGGAUUGCUUAGUGGCCAUGAAAAGAAAAGCAACUGGGAUAUGGCCUAAACUCACAGAUUUGUAAAAUGUGUUUGAAGCCAUAACUUUUGGGAUUUUAAAUAUUUCUUCAUCACCAAAUGACAAUACACAUGAAGAAAGUAAGAGGGAAUAGCUUGCGGAGUUUGGGCUUGCUGCAGUCAGGAAUUGUAACUUUGAGCAGAAGUAGUGCUGGCCAGCAGAGAAGCCAAUACAGCUUGCCGUACCACUUGGCCCCUGCUGGUGGGUGUCGGAGGGACUGCGCUGUAAAGGAAAAA
Molecule: long non-coding RNA, 454 nt
Organism: Schistocerca nitens (vagrant locust)
Lineage: Eukaryota; Metazoa; Arthropoda; Insecta; Orthoptera; Acrididae
Exons: 3
Source: RefSeq, a predicted model, not a curated record